AACAAUCUUUAAAAUGAGCCGGGAGAAGAACACGGCUGUGCCCUUGUAUCCAGUGCAGUUGUGAUCCGUGUAUGCAGAGGAUUGCGGCAGAUUCGAUAAUUUCUACUCCAUUUACCAUGGAACAGGAAGAUCCCGGAUCCACAAAGGAAUUCAUCCCUUACACACUGGACACCAGUGACUUCUGUUGGAACUUGUUAACCUUAAUAGAGAAGGUUAAGAGACAAUAUAGAGUUGCUUGCUGCAUUAUUUUGUCUGGUGUUUUCUAGGGAUCGACCGAUAUCGGGUUUUUUAGGGCCGAUACCGAUAAUCGGUGGAGGUUAGGGCCGAUAGCCGAUAACUUAUACCGAUAUUCCGGUAUAAGUUAUCGGCUAUUUAUUCCCCCCUCGACA
This is a long non-coding RNA of Hyla sarda, 389 nucleotides long. RefSeq lists it as uncharacterized. The transcript is spliced from 3 exons. Lineage: Eukaryota; Metazoa; Chordata; Amphibia; Anura; Hylidae. The record is from RefSeq and is a predicted model, not a curated record.